CAAAUUACCCAAUUCUGACACAGGGAGGUAGUGACAAGAAAUAACAAUACAGGGCAUUAAUGUCUUGUAGUUGGAAUGAGUUUAAUUUAAACCCCUUUACGAGUAACAAUUGGAGGGCAAGUCUGGUGCCAGCAGCCGCGGUAAUUCCAGCUCCAAUAGCGUAUAUUAAAGUUGUUGCGGUUAAAAAGCUCGUAGUUGGAUUUCUGUCUGAGGCGGCCGGUCCGCUUUCUGAGUGAGCAUCUGGUCCGCUUUGGGCAUCCUCCUGGGGAACGUUUCCGCGCUUGAUUGUGUGGUACGGAAUCUAGGACUUUUACUUUGAGGAAAUUAGAGUGUUCACUGCAGGCAUACGCCUUGAAUACGUUAGCAUGGAAUAAUAAGAUAGGACCUCGGUUCUAUUUUUUCGGUUUCUAGAGCUGAGGUAAUGAUUAACAGGGAUAGUUGGGGGCAUUCGUAUUUAACUGUCAGAGGUGAAAUUCUUGGAUUUGUUAAAGACGAACUACUGCGAAAGCAUUUGCCAAGGAUGUUUUCAUUGAUCAAGAACGAAAGUUAGGGGAUCGAAGACGAUCAGAUACCGUCCUAGUCUUAACCACAAACCAUGCCGACUAGAGAUUGGAGGCCGUUUCUUAUACGACACCUUCAGCACCUUACGAGAAAUCAAAGUCUUUGGGUUCCGGGGGGAGUAUGGUCGCAAGGCUGAAACUUAAAGGAAUUGACGGAAGGGCACCACCAGGAGUGGAGCCUGCGGCUUAAUUUGACUCAACACGGGGAAACUUACCAGGUCC
RNAcentral lists this ribosomal RNA (782 nucleotides) under uncultured marine Syndiniales. RNAcentral's name for it is "SSU rRNA". It matches the Rfam family "Eukaryotic small subunit ribosomal RNA", at positions 437 to 1225 of the family's 1831-position model. Lineage: Eukaryota; Dinophyceae; Syndiniales. The record is from RNAcentral.